This 425-nucleotide ribosomal RNA is filed under the name uncultured bacterium. RNAcentral's name for it is "partial 16S ribosomal RNA". It matches the Rfam family "Bacterial small subunit ribosomal RNA", at positions 354 to 796 of the family's 1533-position model. The record is from RNAcentral.
GUGGGGAAUCUUAGACAAUGGGGGAAACCCUGAUCUAGCCAUGCCGCGUGAUCGAUGAAGGCCUUAGGGUUGUAAAGAUCUUUCAGGUGGGAAGAUAAUGACUGUACCACCAGAAGAAGCCCCGGCUAACUCCGUGCCAGCAGCCGCGGUAAUACGGAGGGGGCUAGCGUUGUUCGGAAUUACUGGGCGUAAAGCGCACGUAGGCGGAUUGGAAAGUUGGGGGUGAAAUCCCGGGGCUCAACCCCGGAACUGCCUUCAAAACUCCCAGUCUUGAGUUCGAGAGAGGUGAGUGGAAUUCCGAGUGUAGAGGUGAAAUUCGUAGAUAUUCGGAGAAACACCAGUGGCGAAGGCGGCUCACUGGCUCGAUACUGACGCUGAGGUGCGAAAGCGUGGGGAGCAAACAGGAUUAGAAACCCCAGUAGUCC